RNAcentral lists this ribosomal RNA (307 nucleotides) under Enterococcus faecium. RNAcentral's name for it is "bacterial SSU rRNA". It matches the Rfam family "Bacterial small subunit ribosomal RNA", at positions 558 to 857 of the family's 1533-position model. Lineage: Bacteria; Bacillati; Bacillota; Bacilli; Lactobacillales; Enterococcaceae. The record is from RNAcentral.
GCGUAAAGCGAGCGCAGGCGGUUUCUUAAGUCUGAUGUGAAAGCCCCCGCGCUCAACCGGGGAGGGUCAUUGGAAACUGGGAGACUUGAGUGCGAGAAGAGGAGAGUGGAAUUCCAUGUGUAGCGGUGAAAUGCGUAGAUAUAUGGGAGGAACACCAGUGGCGAAGGCGGCUCUCUGGUCUGUAACUGACGCUGAGGCUCGAAAGACGUGGGGAGCAAACAGGAUUAGAUACCCUGGUAGUCCACGCCGUAAACGAUGAGUGCUAAGUGUUAGGAGGGUUUCCGCCCUUUCAGUGCUGCAGCUAACG